This 534-nucleotide ribosomal RNA is filed under the name Helenozyma melibiosica. Its description in RNAcentral is "[Candida] melibiosica partial large subunit ribosomal RNA". It matches the Rfam family "Eukaryotic large subunit ribosomal RNA", at positions 68 to 674 of the family's 3401-position model. The record is from RNAcentral. Lineage: Eukaryota; Fungi; Ascomycota; Pichiomycetes; Serinales; Metschnikowiaceae.
ACGGGGCAUUGCCCAGUAACGGCGAGUGAAGCGGCAAAAGCUCAAUUUUGAAAUCCCCCCGGGGAGUUGUAAUUUGAAGACUAGGGGAUUUGGCCCAAACCUGCGCAAGUCCAUUGGAACAUGGCGCCCAAGAGGGUGAGAGCCCCGUCGCGCAGGCCGCAGCCUUGACAUCCCCCCGUCAAAGAGUCGAGUUGUUUGGGAAUGCAGCUCAAAGUGGGUGGUAAAUUCCAUCUAAAGCUAAAUAUUGGCGAGAGACCGAUAGCGAACAAGUACAGUGAUGGAAAGAUGAAAAGCACUUUGAAAAGAGAGUGAAACAGUACGUGAAAUUGUUGAAAGGGAAGGGCUUGCAAGCAGACACGAGUUCGCUCGGGCCAGCAUCAAUUUCGCGAGGUGGACAACACGCCAGGAAUGUGGCAGGCUCCGGCCUGUGUUAUAGCCUGCGCGCCAUACACCUCCGCGAGAUUGAGGCCUGCUCCAAAAGGAUGCUGGCGUAAUGGUUGCAAGUCGCCCGUCUUGAAAMACRRACMMAAAAAA